GAUGAACGCUGGCGGCGUGCCUAAUACAUGCAAGUCGAGCGAACGGACGAGAAGCUUGCUUUUCUGAUGUUAGCGGCGGACGGGUGAGUAACACGUGGAUAACCUACCUAUAAGACUGGGAUAACUUCGGGAAACCGGAGCUAAUACCGGAUAAUAUUUUGAACCGCAUGGUUCAUAAGUGAAAGACGGUCUUGCUGUCACUCAUAGAUGGAUCCGCGCUGCAUUAGCUAGUUGGUAAGGUAACGGCUUACCAAGGCAACGAUGCAUAGCCGACCUGAGAGGGUGAUCGGCCACACUGGAACUGAGACACGGUCCAGACUCCUACGGGAGGCAGCAGUAGGGAAUCUUCCGCAAUGGGCGAAAGCCUGACGGAGCAACGCCGCGUGAGCGAUGAAGGUCUUCGGAUCGUAAAACUCUGUUAUUAGGGAAGAACAUAUGUGUAAGUAACUGUGCACAUCUUGACGGUACCUAAUCAGAAAGCCACGGCUAACUACGUG
This 497-nucleotide ribosomal RNA is filed under the name uncultured bacterium. Its description in RNAcentral is "partial 16S ribosomal RNA". It matches the Rfam family "Bacterial small subunit ribosomal RNA", at positions 28 to 507 of the family's 1533-position model. The record is from RNAcentral.